AAAUUGAAGAGUUUGAUCAUGGCUCAGAUUGAACGCUGGCGGCAGGCCUAACACAUGCAAGUCGAACGGUAACAGGAAUCAGCUUGCUGAUUCGCUGACGAGUGGCGGACGGGUGAGUAAUGUCUGGGAAACUGCCUGAUGGAGGGGGAUAACUACUGGAAACGGUAGCUAAUA
This 174-nucleotide ribosomal RNA is filed under the name Escherichia coli. Its description in RNAcentral is "partial 16S ribosomal RNA". It matches the Rfam family "Bacterial small subunit ribosomal RNA", at positions 1 to 168 of the family's 1533-position model. Lineage: Bacteria; Pseudomonadati; Pseudomonadota; Gammaproteobacteria; Enterobacterales; Enterobacteriaceae. The record is from RNAcentral.